This 76-nucleotide transfer RNA is filed under the name Gemmatimonadota bacterium. Its description in RNAcentral is "Gemmatimonadetes bacterium (marine metagenome) tRNA-Val". It matches the Rfam family "tRNA". Rfam says of the family: Transfer RNA (tRNA) molecules are approximately 80 nucleotides in length. Their secondary structure includes four short double-helical elements and three loops (D, anti-codon, and T loops). Lineage: Bacteria; Pseudomonadati; Gemmatimonadota. The record is from RNAcentral.
GGUCGCUUAGCUCAGUUGGUAGAGCGCCACGUUCACAUCGUGGAUGUCGCAGGUUCAAGUCCUGCAGCGACCAUCA